AGUAAAAGAUAUGAAUUAUGGGC
This 23-nucleotide non-coding RNA is filed under the name Gossypium hirsutum (cotton). The record is from RNAcentral. Lineage: Eukaryota; Viridiplantae; Streptophyta; Magnoliopsida; Malvales; Malvaceae.